AUGGUAGGUUACAUAAGAAUACAGCUAAUUCACACAGGACACGUAACGUAUAAUAUUAGCAGUAAUAAGCACUGUAUUUCCACCAUGGAUUUAGGAGUUGAUUUGUGAAACAAGCAUCAUCCAGUUGCAAUAUAAUUAAAAACUCGUUACAGAAUAAGAAAAAAAAAUGAAAGAAAAAAAAAAAAAAAUUCCGACGAGACGGAUUUGAACCAUCGACCUAAGGAUGACAGAUUUCGAUAACCACUACAGUCCUCCGCUCUACCAACUGAGCUAUCGUCGGGUUACAUCAGCUGGAAAAUUUAUCGAGCCAUUCCUUGAUGUAGUAUUAUUAGUUGCAUUUUCACAAAAUACAAGUUGUUUUGUCACUGAA
Patella vulgata (common limpet) is the source of this 370-nucleotide long non-coding RNA. RefSeq lists it as uncharacterized. The record is from RefSeq and is a predicted model, not a curated record. NCBI's taxonomy places the organism in Eukaryota, Metazoa, Mollusca, Gastropoda, Patellidae. The transcript is spliced from 2 exons.